RNAcentral lists this ribosomal RNA (573 nucleotides) under uncultured bacterium. Its description in RNAcentral is "partial 16S ribosomal RNA". It matches the Rfam family "Bacterial small subunit ribosomal RNA", at positions 355 to 920 of the family's 1533-position model. The record is from RNAcentral.
UGGGGAAUUUUGGACAAUGGGCGAAAGCCUGAUCCAGCGAUGCCGCGUGUGUGAAGAAGGCCUUCGGGUUGUAAAGCACUUUUGUCCGGAAAGAAAUCCUUGGCUCUAAUACAGUCGGGGGAUGACGGUACCGGAAGAAUAAGCACCGGCUAACUACGUGCCAGCAGCCGCGGUAAUACGUAGGGUGCAAGCGUUAAUCGGAAUUACUGGGCGUAAAGCGUGCGCAGGCGGUUUGCUAAGACCGAUGUGAAAUCCCCGGGCUCAACCUGGGAACUGCAUUGGUGACUGGCAGGCUAGAGUAUGGCAGAGGGGGGUUAGAAUUCCACGUGUAGCAGUGAAAUGCGUAGAGAUGUGGAGGAAUACCGAUGGCGAAGGCAGCCCCCUGGGCCAAUACUGACGCUCAUGCACGAAAGCGUGGGGAGCAAACAGGAUUAGAUACCCUGGUAGUCCACGCCCUAAACGAUGUCAACUAGUUGUUGGGGAUUCAUUUCCUUAGUAACGUAGCUAACGCGUGAAGUUGACCGCCUGGGGAGUACGGUCGCAAGAUUAAAACUUAAAUGAAUUGACGGGGUC